UAGGGAAUCUUCGGCAAUGGACGAAAGUCUGACCGAGCAACGCCGCGUGAGUGAAGAAGGUUUUCGGAUCGUAAAACUCUGUUGUUAGAGAAGAACAAGGACGUUAGUAACUGAACGUCCCCUGACGGUAUCUAACCAGAAAGCCACGGCUAACUACGUGCCAGCAGCCGCGGUAAUACGUAGGUGGCAAGCGUUGUCCGGAUUUAUUGGGCGUAAAGCGAGCGCAGGCGGUUUCUUAAGUCUGAUGUGAAAGCCCCCGGCUCAACCGGGGAGGGUCAUUGGGAACUGGGAGGCUUGAGUGCAGAAGAGGGGAGUGGAAUUCCAUGUGUAGCGGUGAAAUGCGUAGAUAUAUGGAGGAACACCAGUGGCGAAGGCGGCUCUCUGGUCUGUAACUGACGAUAAGGCUCGAAAGCGUGGGGAUCAAACAGG
RNAcentral lists this ribosomal RNA (429 nucleotides) under Gemmatimonadota bacterium. RNAcentral describes it as "Gemmatimonadetes bacterium partial 16S ribosomal RNA". It matches the Rfam family "Bacterial small subunit ribosomal RNA", at positions 355 to 776 of the family's 1533-position model. The record is from RNAcentral. Lineage: Bacteria; Pseudomonadati; Gemmatimonadota.